GCUCAGCUAACUCAGUUGGUAGAGCAUGGGACUCUUAAUCCCAGGAUGAUGGGUUCGAGCCCCAUGUUGGGUG
This is a non-coding RNA of Grus americana (Whooping crane), 73 nucleotides long. NCBI's taxonomy places the organism in Eukaryota, Metazoa, Chordata, Aves, Gruiformes, Gruidae. The record is from the annotation of a RefSeq genome assembly.